This 1383-nucleotide ribosomal RNA is filed under the name uncultured bacterium. Its description in RNAcentral is "bacterial SSU rRNA". It matches the Rfam family "Bacterial small subunit ribosomal RNA". The record is from RNAcentral.
AGCGGGGUGUAGCAAUACACCCAGCGGCGGACGGGUGAGUAACACGUGGAUAACCUGCCUUCUUCACCGGGAUAACAGGCCGAAAGGCCUGCUAAUACGGGAUAAGCUCACGGAGUCGCAUGGCUCUGGGAGAAAAGGCGCUGGAGGAAGAGGGGUCCGCGGCCCAUUAGCUAGUUGGAGGGGUAACGGCCCACCAAGGCGACGAUGGGUAGCCGGCCUGAGAGGGCGAACGGCCACACUGGGACUGAGACACGGCCCAGACUCCUACGGGAGGCAGCAGUCGGGAAUUUUGGGCAAUGGCCGAAAGGGCUGACCCAGCAACACCGCGUGAGUGAAGAAGGCCUUCGGGUUGUAAAGCUCUGUUACCCGUGAAGAACGGUGUGGAGAGGAAAUGCUCCAUACUUGACGGUAGCGGGGGAGGAAGCUCCGGCUAACUACGUGCCAGCAGCCGCGGUAAUACGUAGGGAGCGAGCGUUGUCCGGAUUUAUUGGGCGUAAAGGGCGUGUAGGCGGCUUGUUAAGUCUGGAGUGAAAAUCCGGGGCUCAACCCCGGAACUGCUUCGGAUACUGAUGAGCUUGAGUACUCUAGAGGGCAGUGGAAUUCCCGGUGUAGCAGUGAAAUGCGUAGAGAUCGGGAGGAACACCAGUGGCGAAGGCGACUGCCUGGGGAGAAACUGACGCUGAGGCGCGAAAGCUGGGGGAGCAAACGGGAUUAGAUACCCCGGUAGUCCCAGCCGUAAACGAUGAGUGCUAGGUGUAGCGGGUAUCGACCCCCGCUGUGCCGCAGUUAACGCAAUAAGCACUCCGCCUGGGGAGUACGGCCGCAAGGUUGAAACUCAAAGGAAUUGACGGGGGCCCGCACAAGCAGCGGAGCAUGUGGUUUAAUUCGAAGCAACGCGUAGAACCUUACCAGGGCUUGACAUGUAGCGAAUCCCUUAGAGAUAGGGGAGUGCUCCUUCGGGAGAACGCUAACACAGGUGGUGCAUGGUUGUCGUCAGCUCGUGUCGUGAGAUGUUGGGUUAAGUCCCGCAACGAGCGCAACCCCUAUCGUAUGUUGCCAGCAGGUAAAGCUGGGCACUCAUGCGAGACUGCCGGUGACAAACCGGAGGAAGGUGGGGAUGACGUCAAAUCAUCAUGCCCCUUAUGUCAUGGGCGACACACGUGCUACAAUGGGCGCCACAAAGCGAACCGAGACCGCGAGGUGGAGGAAACCGCAAAAGGCGUUCGUAGUUCAGAUCGCCCCCUGCAACUCGCCUGCGUGAAGCCGGAGUUGCUAGUAAUCGCGGAUCAGCACGCCGCGGUGAAUACGUUCCCGGGCCUUGUACACACCGCCCGUCACACCAUGGGAGCUGGUAACACCCGAAGUCGGUGAGCUAACACGCAA